AAGGAUCUGAGUAAGCAGGAGCG
RNAcentral lists this non-coding RNA (23 nucleotides) under Cricetulus griseus (Chinese hamster). Lineage: Eukaryota; Metazoa; Chordata; Mammalia; Rodentia; Cricetidae. The record is from RNAcentral.